RNAcentral lists this ribosomal RNA (1336 nucleotides) under uncultured bacterium. Its description in RNAcentral is "bacterial SSU rRNA". It matches the Rfam family "Bacterial small subunit ribosomal RNA", at positions 28 to 1381 of the family's 1533-position model. The record is from RNAcentral.
GACGAACGCUGGCGGCGUGCUUAACACAUGCAAGUCGAGCGGAAAGGCCACUUCGGUGGUACUCGAGCGGCGAACGGGUGAGUAACACGUGAGUAAUCUGCCCCUGGCUUUGGGAUAGCCACCGGAAACGGUGAUUAAUACCGAAUAUGACCACUUCUCGCAUGGGAUGGUGGUGGAAAGUUUUUCGGCCAGGGAUGUGCUCGCGGCCUAUCAGCUUGAUGGUGAGGUAAUGGCUCACCAUGGCUUCGACGGGUAACCGGCCUGAGAGGGUGACCGGUCACACUGGGACUGAGACACGGCCCAGACUCCUACGGGAGGCAGCAGUGGGGAAUAUUGGACAAUGGGCGGAAGCCUGAUCCAGCAACGCCGCGUGAGGGAUGACUGCCUUCGGGUUGUAAACCUCUUUCGGUGGGGACGAAGCGCAAGUGACGGUACCCACUAAAGAAGCACCGGCCAACUACGUGCCAGCAGCCGCGGUAAUACGUAGGGUGCGAGCGUUGUCCGGAAUUAUUGGGCGUAAAGGGCUCGUAGGCGGUUUGUCGCGUCGGGAGUGAAAACCAGGUGCUUAACACCUGGCUUGCUUUCGAUACGGGCAGACUAGAGGUAUUCAGGGGAGAACGGAAUUCCUGGUGUAGCGGUGAAAUGCGCAGAUAUCAGGAGGAACACCGGUGGCGAAGGCGGUUCUCUGGGAAUUACCUGACGCUGAGGAGCGAAAGUGUGGGGAGCGAACAGGAUUAGAUACCCUGGUAGUCCACACCGUAAACGUUGGGCGCUAGGUGUGGGGUCCAUUCCACGGAUUCCGUGCCGCAGCUAACGCAUUGAGCGCCCCGCCUGGGGAGUACGGCCGCAAGGCUAAAACUCAAAGGAAUUGACGGGGGCCCGCACAAGCGGCGGAGCAUGCGGAUUAAUUCGAUGCAACGCGAAGAACCUUACCUGGGUUUGACAUACACCCUGCCGCUCCAGAGAUGGGGCUUCUUUUGGGGGUGUACAGGUGGUGCAUGGCUGUCGUCAGCUCGUGUCGUGAGAUGUUGGGUUAAGUCCCGCAACGAGCGCAACCCUCGUUCUAUGUUGCCAGCACGUAAAGGUGGGGACUCAUAGGAGACUGCCGGGGUCAACUCGGAGGAAGGUGGGGAUGACGUCAAGUCAUCAUGCCCCUUAUGUCCAGGGCUUCACGCAUGCUACAAUGGCCGGUACAAAGGGCUGCGAUCCCGUGAGGGGGAGCGAAUCCCAAAAAGCCGGUCUCAGUUCGGAUUGGGGUCUGCAACUCGACCCCAUGAAGUCGGAGUCGCUAGUAAUCGCAGAUCAGCAACGCUGCGGUGAAUACGUUCCCGGGCCU